CUCCCUAGCUUCCGCUCUUAAGACGGGGAUCAAAGAGAGGUCAAACCCAAAAGAGAUCGCGUGGAGGCCCUGCCUGGGGUUGAAGCGUUAAAUCUAAUCAGGCUAGUCUGGUAGUGGCGUGUCUGUCCGCAGGUGCCAGGCGAAUGUAAAGACUGACUAAGCAUGUAGUACCGAGGAUGUAGGAAUUUCGGACGCGGGUUCAACUCCCGCCAGCUCCACCA
This 221-nucleotide transfer-messenger RNA is filed under the name Escherichia coli. RNAcentral's name for it is "partial transfer-messenger RNA". It matches the Rfam family "transfer-messenger RNA", at positions 148 to 374 of the family's 374-position model. Rfam says of the family: Bacterial tmRNA, also known as 10Sa RNA or SsrA, is named for its dual tRNA and mRNA-like properties. Its role is to liberate the mRNA from a stalled ribosome. To accomplish this part of the tmRNA is used as a reading frame that ends in a translation stop signal. The record is from RNAcentral. Lineage: Bacteria; Pseudomonadati; Pseudomonadota; Gammaproteobacteria; Enterobacterales; Enterobacteriaceae.